RNAcentral lists this ribosomal RNA (429 nucleotides) under uncultured bacterium. Its description in RNAcentral is "bacterial SSU rRNA". It matches the Rfam family "Bacterial small subunit ribosomal RNA", at positions 355 to 776 of the family's 1533-position model. The record is from RNAcentral.
UGGGGAAUAUUGCGCAAUGGGCGAAAGCCUGACGCAGCGACGCCGCGUGGAGGAUGAAGGUCUUCGGAUUGUAAACUUCUGUUAGGUGGGAAGAAAUACAUAGUUUUAAUACAACUAUGGGAUGACGGUACCAUCAGAGAAAGCACCGGCUAAACUCGUGCCAGCAGCCGCGGUAAUACGAGUGGUGCAAGCGUUAUUCGGAGUGAUUGGGCGUAAAGGGUGCGUAGGCGGUAUGUUAAGUUAAUUGUUAAAUCCCUCGGCUUAACCGAGGAUCGGCAGUUAAUACUGGCGUACUUGAGGAUGGAAGAGAGAAGUGGAAUUCUCGGAGUAGCGGUAAAAUGCGUAGAUCUCGAGAGGAACACCGAUGGCGAAGGCAGCUUCUUGGUCCAUUCCUGACGCUGAGUCACGAAAGCGUGGGGAGCAAACAGG